GAAAUGCGAUAAGUAAUGUGAAUUGCAGAAUUCAGUGAAUCAUCGAAUCUUUGAACGCACAUUGCGCCCACCAGCACUCUGGCGGGCAUGCCUGUUCGAGCGUCAUUUCAACCCUCAGAACCCCUUGCGGGAUCUGGCGUUGGGGAUUGGCAUCCAGCCAGCCCCGAAAUCUAGUGGCGGUCCCUCCGCGACCUCCCCUGUGCAGUAGCGAUACCUCGCAGCGGGACAGCGGUCUGACCACGCCGUAAAACCCCCAACUUCCCAAGGUUGACCUCGAAUCAGGUAGGAAUACCCGCUGAACUUAAGC
This 307-nucleotide unclassified non-coding RNA is filed under the name plant metagenome. RNAcentral's name for it is "partial contains 5.8S ribosomal RNA, internal transcribed spacer 2, and large subunit ribosomal RNA". The stretch from base 1 to 105 matches the Rfam family "5.8S ribosomal RNA", at positions 50 to 154 of the family's 154-position model. The record is from RNAcentral.